CCUACGGGAGGCAGCAGUGGGGAAUAUUUCGCAAUGGGCGAAAGCCUGACGCAGCGACGCCGCGUGAGGGAUGAAGGUCUUCGGAUCGUAAACCUCUGUCAUCAGGGAGGAACGGUCACUGUGCUAAUCAGCAGUGAAUUGACGGUACCUGCAAAGGAAGCACCGGCUAACUCCGUGCCAGCAGCCGCGGUAAUACGGAGGGUGCGAGUGUUAAUCGGAAUUACUGGGCGUAAAGCGCUCGUAGGCGGUAUGUCAAGUCAAGGGUGAAAUCCCCGCGCUCAACGUGGGAACUACCUUUGAAACUGGCAAACUGGAGUGUGUGAGAGGAUAGUGGAAUUCCAGGUGUAGGAGUGAAAUCCGUAGAUAUCAGGAGGAACAUCAGUGGCGAAGGCGACUAUCUGGAACAUAACUGACGCUGAGGAGCGAAAGCGUGGGUAGCAAACAGGAUUAGAUACCCGAGUAGUC
This 465-nucleotide ribosomal RNA is filed under the name uncultured bacterium. RNAcentral's name for it is "partial 16S ribosomal RNA". It matches the Rfam family "Bacterial small subunit ribosomal RNA", at positions 338 to 795 of the family's 1533-position model. The record is from RNAcentral.